RNAcentral lists this ribosomal RNA (253 nucleotides) under uncultured bacterium. RNAcentral describes it as "partial 16S ribosomal RNA". It matches the Rfam family "Bacterial small subunit ribosomal RNA", at positions 524 to 776 of the family's 1533-position model. The record is from RNAcentral.
UACAGAGGAGCCAAGCGUUGUCCGGAUUGACUGGGCGUAAAGCGCACGCAGGCGGUUGCGCGCGUGGGGGGUGAAAGCUGGUGGCUUAACUGCCAGAUGCCACCCCAUACGGCGCGACUCGAGCCCGUGAGAGGUCCACGGAAUUGCCGGUGUAGUGGUGAAAUGCGUAGAGAUCGGCAGGAACACCCAGGGGGAAACCAGUGGACUGGCACGGUGCUGACGCUCAGGUGCGAAAGCGUGGGGAGCGAACCGG